Molecule: unclassified non-coding RNA, 186 nt
Filed under: 'Styphnolobium stolbur japonicum' phytoplasma
Lineage: Bacteria; Bacillati; Mycoplasmatota; Mollicutes; Acholeplasmatales; Acholeplasmataceae
Description: partial 16S-23S ribosomal RNA intergenic spacer
Rfam family: tRNA (bases 65-138)
Source: RNAcentral
AAGGAUAAAGCUAUCAUCUUCAGUUUUGAGAGACUUAAGAAAGUUUUUCAUUCUUUUAAGAUUUGGGCCUAUAGCUCAGCUGGUUAGAGCACACGCCUGAUAAGCGUGAGGUCGGUGGUUCAAGUCCAUUUAGGCCCACCAAAAUAGGUCACAUCUUAAAAAAAGCUCUUUGAAAAGUAGAUAAAC